Molecule: ribosomal RNA, 506 nt
Filed under: uncultured bacterium
Lineage: Bacteria
Description: partial 16S ribosomal RNA
Rfam family: Bacterial small subunit ribosomal RNA
Source: RNAcentral
AGUGAACGCUGGCGGUAGGCCUAACACAUGCAAGUCGAACGGCAGCACAGGAGAGCUUGCUCUCUGGGUGGCGAGUGGCGGACGGGUGAGGAAUACGUCGGAAUCUACUCUGUCGUGGGGGAUAACGUAGGGAAACUUACGCUAAUACCGCAUACGACCUACGGGUGAAAGCAGGGGAUCUUCGGACCUUGCGCGAUUGAAUGAGCCGAUGUCGGAUUAGCUAGUUGGCGGGGUAAAGGCCCACCAAGGCGACGAUCCGUAGCUGGUCUGAGAGGAUGAUCAGCCACACUGGAACUGAGACACGGUCCAGACUCCUACGGGAGGCAGCAGUGGGGAAUAUUGGACAAUGGGCGCAAGCCUGAUCCAGCCGUACCGCGUGGGUGAAGAAGGCCUUCGGGUUGUAAAGCCCUUUUGUUGGGAAAGAAAUCCAGCUGGCUAAUACCCGGUUGGGAUGACGGUACCCAAAGAAUAAGCACCGGCUAACUUCGUGCCAGCAGCCGCAGUAA